This 962-nucleotide ribosomal RNA is filed under the name Psychrobacillus sp. Its description in RNAcentral is "bacterial SSU rRNA". It matches the Rfam family "Bacterial small subunit ribosomal RNA", at positions 547 to 1508 of the family's 1533-position model. Lineage: Bacteria; Bacillati; Bacillota; Bacilli; Caryophanales; Bacillaceae. The record is from RNAcentral.
UUUAUUUGGGGCGGUAAAGCGCGCGCAGGCGGUCCUUUAAGUCUGAUGUGAAAGCCCACGGCUCAACCGUGGAAGGUCAUUGGAAACUGGGGGACUUGAGUGCAGAAGAGGAAAGUGGAAUUCCAAGUGUAGCGGUGAAAUGCGUAGAGAUUUGGAGGAACACCAGUGGCGAAGGCGACUUUCUGGUCUGUAACUGACGCUGAGGCGCGAAAGCGUGGAGAGCAAACAGGAUUAGAUACCCUGGUAGUCCACGCCGUAAACGAUGAGUGCUAAGUGUUAGGGGGUUUCCGCCCCUUAGUGCUGCAGCUAACGCAUUAAGCACUCCGCCUGGGGAGUACGGUCGCAAGACUGAAACUCAAAGGAAUUGACGGGGGCCCGCACAAGCGGUGGAGCAUGUGGUUUAAUUCGAAGCAACGCGAAGAACCUUACCAGGUCUUGACAUCCCGCUGACCGGUCUAGAGAUAGAUUUUUCCCUUCGGGGACAGCGGUGACAGGUGGUGCAUGGUUGUCGUCAGCUCGUGUCGUGAGAUGUUGGGUUAAGUCCCGCAACGAGCGCAACCCUUGAUCUUAGUUGCCAGCAUUCAGUUGGGCACUCUAAGGUGACUGCCGGUGAUAAACCGGAGGAAGGUGGGGAUGACGUCAAAUCAUCAUGCCCCUUAUGACCUGGGCUACACACGUGCUACAAUGGACGGUACAGAGGGUCGCAACCCCGCGAGGGUGAGCUAAUCCCAUAAAACCGUUCUCAGUUCGGAUUGUAGGCUGCAACUCGCCUACAUGAAGCCGGAAUCGCUAGUAAUCGUGGAUCAGCAUGCCACGGUGAAUACGUUCCCGGGCCUUGUACACACCGCCCGUCACACCACGAGAGUUUGUAACACCCGAAGUCGGUGGGGUAACCCUUACGGGAGCCAGCCGCCGAAGGUGGGACAGAUGAUGGGGUGAAGUCGAACAAGUAGCCGAUCGGU